UCCUCGCCAUGCCACCGCCGCUUCA
RNAcentral lists this microRNA (25 nucleotides) under Bombyx mori (domestic silkworm). RNAcentral's name for it is "bmo-miR-3332". Lineage: Eukaryota; Metazoa; Arthropoda; Insecta; Lepidoptera; Bombycidae. The record is from miRBase by way of RNAcentral.